Molecule: ribosomal RNA, 397 nt
Filed under: uncultured bacterium
Lineage: Bacteria
Description: partial 16S ribosomal RNA
Rfam family: Bacterial small subunit ribosomal RNA
Source: RNAcentral
AUACGUAGGCGCAAAGCGUUAUCCGGAUUUACUGGGUGUAAUGGGCGUGUAGGUGGUUUGGCACGUCAGAAGUGAAAUUCCCGGGCUUAACUUGGGCACUGCUUCUGAAACUGCUUAACUUGAGUGCUGGAGAGGCUAGUGGAAUUCCUAGAGCAGCGGAAACAUGAGCAGAUAUUAGGUGGAACACCGGUGGCGAAGGCGGCUAUCUGGACAGUAACAGACGCUGAGGCGCGAAAGCACGGGGAGCAAACAGGAUUAGAUACCCUGGUAGUCCGUGCCGUAAACGAUGAAUACUAGGUGUAGGGGGUAUCGACUCCCUCUGUGCCGCAGUUAACACAUUAAGUAUUCCACCUGGGGAGUACGGCCGCAAGGUUGAAACUCAAAGGAAUUGACGGGG